AGUGAACGCUGGCGGUAGGCCUAACACAUGCAAGUCGAACGGCAGCACAGUAGAUGUUGCUCUUACGGGUGGCGGGUGGCGGUCGGGUGAGGAAUACAUCGGAAUCUACUUUUUCUGGGGGGAUAACGUAGGGAAACUUAAGCUAAUACCGGAUACGACCCUCGGGUGAAAGCAUGGGGUCUUCGGGCCUUGCGCGAUUGAAUGGUCCGAUGUCGGAUUAGCUAGUUGGCGGGGUAAAGGCCCACCAAGGCGACGGUCCGUAGCUGGUCUGAGAGGAUGAUCAGCCACACUGGAGCUGAGACACGGUCCAGACUCCUGCGGGAGGCAGCAGUGGGGAAUAUUGGACAAUGGGCGGAAGCCUGAUCCAGCGAUACCGCGUGCGUGAAGAAGGCCUCCGGGUUGUAAAGCCCUUUUGUUGGGAAAGAAAAGCGCCAGGUUAAUACCCCGAUGUUCUGACGGUACCCAAAGAAUAAGCACCGGCUAACUUCGUG
Molecule: ribosomal RNA, 491 nt
Filed under: uncultured bacterium
Lineage: Bacteria
Description: partial 16S ribosomal RNA
Rfam family: Bacterial small subunit ribosomal RNA
Source: RNAcentral